This 496-nucleotide long non-coding RNA is filed under the name Mytilus galloprovincialis (Mediterranean mussel). Lineage: Eukaryota; Metazoa; Mollusca; Bivalvia; Mytilida; Mytilidae. The record is from RNAcentral.
UUUCUUUUCUCUCUAUUUCCAACCUUUCCUUCAUUUCCAGUUCUGCUUGUUUUAAUUUAAAUUCAUCUUCUUUUCUUUUCUCCAUCUCCUUCAUUUCCAAUUCUUUUAGUUUGAGUUCAUGUUCUAAUUCAAGCUGUUUUAAUUUAAAGGCGUCAAUAUUUUUUCGACCUUAAGUUCAAGAGCCUCUUCACCUAAAAUUUCUGCGUCAACUAAUUUGUCUAUAACCAAAUUUUUUAUAAUUUGUUUUCUCAUAGAUACUUUAAAAACUAAUUUCAGUUCUUUAGCAAGCAACACUAAUUCCUCUUUCUUUAAAUUAUCAAAACUCUCCAGGUCUGGCGUUUUCAAAAAUUUACCAGCAUCAAAUGCCAUUUUGUAGAAUUUUGUUGGCUAGUUAUAAUAAAAAUAUUGAAUAAAUUUUGAAUAAAAUAUUUUUAAGCUCCCGGACGAGCCCCCAAUUUCUGUUACGGCCAGAAAUCGCCUUUAAAUUGUAGCCAAC